UACGUAGGGACCGAGCGUUGUCCGGAAUCAUUGGGCGUAAAGAGCGUGUAGGCGGCCACUUAAGUCCUGCGUGAAAUCUUGCGGCUCAACCGCAAGCGGUCGUGGGAAACUGGGUGGCUAGAGUGCGGGAGAGGAGAGUGGAAUUCCUGGUGUAGCGGUGAAAUGCGCAGAUAUCAGGAGGAACACCGAUGGCGAAGGCAGGUCUCUGGGCCACUACUGACGCUGAGAAGCGAAAGCAUGGGGAGCGAACAGG
This 253-nucleotide ribosomal RNA is filed under the name uncultured bacterium. Its description in RNAcentral is "partial 16S ribosomal RNA". It matches the Rfam family "Bacterial small subunit ribosomal RNA", at positions 524 to 776 of the family's 1533-position model. The record is from RNAcentral.